RNAcentral lists this unclassified non-coding RNA (564 nucleotides) under Zea mays. Its description in RNAcentral is "misc RNA Zm00001eb432430". Lineage: Eukaryota; Viridiplantae; Streptophyta; Magnoliopsida; Poales; Poaceae. The record is from RNAcentral.
UUGAAGGUCCAACCGACGGACCAGAGCUACGGCCGCCAGACAACUGGGGCCCGGAGCGGACGGGCGGUGCAGCACGGCGCGGGUGCUCCCGCCUACACCUUUCCGGUGGUGACGCCGGCCGGGCUACGCGAGCACGGCCGUGGUGGGCGAGAAGGGAGCACUCGAGAUGAGCUGCCGUCUGCCGAGGGCAGAGGGCAUCGCACCGGUGGAGGGAUCAGGGAGACAGGAUCGGGCAGGGCGAUGGCCUGCGGGCAAUCAGCAGGCUGCGGCGGCAGGGAUCGAGUCACUGCGAGCGGUGUUGUGCCUCAUGGAGGCGGCGGUGUGCCGGUGUCGGCAGGAGCGGAGACGACGGACCAACGGUCCCCCGUCUGGCGGCGUCUCGCCUCGACCAGGCGGCGCCGGGCGGUGGCCGACGACCGACCCAAGCACAAACAGCGGGCGCCGAGCUGCAGACGAGCGCAAGCGCUCGACCAGUCCCGCGAGCCGACGCCGCCAUCCAUUGCCGGCGCGUCCCUGUUCUCUCUGUCGCCGUCCCUGUCGUUCACGGCUCUACCUAUACGCUAA